AUCCGGAUAACGAGUCCCAAACGGGACGAAAUGCGCGUCCCAGAU
RNAcentral lists this non-coding RNA (45 nucleotides) under Schistosoma mattheei. Lineage: Eukaryota; Metazoa; Platyhelminthes; Trematoda; Strigeidida; Schistosomatidae. The record is from RNAcentral.